RNAcentral lists this ribosomal RNA (117 nucleotides) under Leptospiraceae bacterium. Lineage: Bacteria; Pseudomonadati; Spirochaetota; Leptospiria; Leptospirales; Leptospiraceae. The record is from RNAcentral.
CCUGGUAGUUAUGGAGAAGGGGAAAUACCUGUUCCCAUCCCGAACACAGAAGUCAAGCCCUUCAUCGCCAAUGGUACUAUGCGGUUCGCUGCAUGGGAGAGUAGGACGCCGCCAGGC